GCUGGAUGUGGUGAUGCAUGUCUGUAAUCCCAGCAGCUUGGGAAGCUGAGACAGGAGGAUCAUAGGUUUAAAGCCAGCCUCAACAACUUAGUGAGGUCCUAAGAACUCAGUGAGGCCCUAAGCAAAUCAGCAAGACCCUGUCUCUA
This 146-nucleotide small RNA is filed under the name Marmota monax (woodchuck). The record is from RNAcentral. Lineage: Eukaryota; Metazoa; Chordata; Mammalia; Rodentia; Sciuridae.